RNAcentral lists this transfer RNA (62 nucleotides) under Ishiharodelphax matsuyamensis. Its description in RNAcentral is "tRNA-Asp". Lineage: Eukaryota; Metazoa; Arthropoda; Insecta; Hemiptera; Delphacidae. The record is from RNAcentral.
AAGAGAUUAGUUUAAAAAAAACUUUAAAAUGUCAAAUUAAAAUUACUUAAAAGUAUCUCUUU